This 10838-nucleotide long non-coding RNA is filed under the name Malus domestica (apple). RNAcentral describes it as "long non-coding RNA (MDOM_LNC015248)". The record is from RNAcentral. Lineage: Eukaryota; Viridiplantae; Streptophyta; Magnoliopsida; Rosales; Rosaceae.
AACUAAACCCCCCUUAGCUAGGGGGAAUUCGAAACCAUGUUCAUGCUUGCAAUAUGAUUUGAUUACCUUUAGUUGUGAUUUCAUAAGUUGUGAAUUCAAUUUGUUUAACUGCUUGAUUGAUAACUUAUUCGUGUAUGUUAAUUAAGAGUGCACACUUAGUUUGCAUGCAUGAAUGUGAUGCUAGAGUAUAAGGGAGUUUCACCUAAUAGUUACAAACUUAUAUUCACAAGUAGUGGAGGUCGCUUAUAAACGAUCGCGUUAAAUAAAUUCUUGGCAGGAGUUUCAUGCUCAUCAUAGUAACGAAUGCCUUGUCAAUACUUAUAGUUUUCAUAAUGCUUAAUGAUCUUUGAUUGUAUCUUUAUUGUGCUGUUCACGUAAAGAACUUUUGAAGAAUGCUUAAAUUGUUGUAUGCGUUUUCCCAUCCAAUUCAAUAACUUAAGGAGAACUUGAAGGUUAAUUUAAGCGGACUUAAUUAACCUGGGGUGUUGAGUUUCAUGAUUGAUCGAAAGAACAACUGAAAAUUGGUUUAUGUGCAAGUAUGUCAUGUGUGGAGAAGAACCUCCUAGCUAGCCUUCCAUCUAUUCAAUUUACUCAAAUUCGUGCAGAUUUCAUUAGUUAUUUAAUUUACUUGUUUUGUUUUCAAAUUCGUCAAAACCAAAACCCCCUUUCCUUUAAAGUGUUUUAUUAGUCAAAAUCUGUUUUGAUUUGUGUUUUUAGGUGUCCCAAAAGUGUGUUAGAGUCCAAAUCUGCCCAGUUUGUGUUUUUAGGCAAAUUUGAGCGUUUUUAGCUUGUUUCGAGUCCUUUGAGUUUGUUUUAAGUUCUUUGAGUCUAGUUUAUUGUUUUUAACUUUGGUUAUAUGUUUUUAAGUCAGUUUAGAGGUUUUAGCAAGCCCUCCUAAUCCCCGGUUUAGAACGAUCCCUACUUGCAUUUAUACUACAAUUUGACAACAAGAGGGUUUAAUUUGUGUGUUAAGUUAAAAUUCGCAUCAAAUUUUUGGCGCCGUUGCCGAGGAUUAGCAACUUUGCUAAUCCCUUGUUAUUUCUUUUUCUAUAUUUUCGUGUCUUUUGUUUUUAGUUACUGACUUUGUUUUUGUUUGUGUUUUUUUUUUUUUUUUUUUGUUUACUUUUGAUAUUUGAUUUAGUUUUGUUUCCUUGACUUCAGGUACUAGAGAAGUAAGACAUAGAUUUUGCUACCAUUUAUGCUCAAUUGACGAAACUUACUUCUCAAUUGUCACAAUAUUCCGAAAGGACCACAAUGCAAAGUGUCCUUACAUAUGGUGUGUCCUAUGGGCAAGGAUAUCCAACUCAUCAAUGUUCUCAAUUCACUGCGAAUGAAGAUGUUCGGGGUUAUCAAGGCCAUAGCCAAUCAUGGGACAACAUGUUUUCCAACGCUUACAAUUCGGAUUGGAGAGAUUAUUUAGAUUACAUGUGGGGAGAACCUCAACAAUUCCAACAAGAUGGAUAUUGGCAGCAAGAAGAGGAGUUCUAUUCAAGACCUAUGCAGCCACAACAACCUUCUCCACAACAAUUCAAAUCAAAUUCAAGUAUGCCUAUGAGUUAUGAUGAAAUUCUUGAUGUACUAACCUCUUUGACGCAGGGCUCACAACAAGAAGAAUAUUUGCCGCCAUCGAAUGAGUUCUAUCACUGGCCAUAUGAACCAUCACAGCGACCACAACAAUCUGCCCAAUUCAAUUCAGGUACGUCUUUGGAUAAUGACAUGUUUAAUAAGUUACUCACCUCUUUGAACCAGGAAGUAGAAAAUCGAAACAAAGAGAUUCAAAAUCAAGCCAGGAAGAUGGGUGAAUUGGAGAAGCAAAUUGGGCAGAUUAUGGAGUUCAUGGCACAAAUUCAAGAGCAAAGUGAACUCUCCAACUCAACUAUUGAAAAUUUGAAGGAAGAUUUUGAAAUCCAUGAUGCUAUCACUUUGGGAAGUGCUAUGGAGGUUGGAGGUGAACCCAAGACAUCCAAACCAAGCCAAAACAUGGAUGAACAGUUGCUGCUUGAAGAAGAGGAGAAUAACAAGGCCACGGCAAGGGAAGAACCACCCUUGCCACUGCCCCAUAUGCCCUCUAUGCCAUCCACUACAACCAAGGUAAGCCUAAAUUCAAUUUGUCCUGACCCCGUUUCACCAAAUGUCCUUAUUCCUUGCAGGAUCAUGCAAUCCAAGGAAGAAGAAGGUGAGAAAGGCAUCUUCGAAACCUUUCCAAAGAAUCAAGAGCAAGAAGUGGAUGGGGAAUGUCUAGAAUUCAUCAAAGAAGAUACACUUGAGAAGAAAAUUCCUAAAGAAGUUGGAUUUUAUGAUAGGGGAAAAGUCCUAACUCUUAUAACACCAAAUCUGGCCAAGUCCCAUAUCCCUGAUAUGGUGUUCGUAAUUGAGUUUGUGUUGGAGCAAGCAAGUAAGCCAUCUUUUCCAACUUCGAUUUUAUUAUAUACUAACUUGCUGAUUUUGAUGAUUAAGGCACCUACACUAGAAUUUAAACCAUUGCCGGAUCACGUCAAGUAUCACCUUCCAUUCAAGGAUCAAUUCCAUGAUAUGGACCCUAUCCAAGUUUAGAAGGAAGUUUCGUUCGGCUGGAAGACGUUAAAGCAAGCGCUUCUUGGGAGGCAACCCAUGUAUUCAAAUAAGGAAGUUUUUUGAAUCGCUCCACAAUCAGUUUUGCGUUUCUAAAAACCUUCCCUUUUCUGCAUUUCUAUUUUGCCAUGAUUGUCAUUUUUUAUUUUUGUUGUUUAUUUAAUUAUUUUUGGGUGUGGGUUUAUUUUUGAAACAUUGACAGAUAUGCAAGGUAUUCUUACAUUCAUUUUCAUGAAAAAAAAAAGGAACAUUAAGCAGAAAAUUACAAGAGGGAGCCUUCACAAAGGCUGUUUAGGAGAAGUCUCAGUAGUCAGCAGAGCCUCAGCAGUCGACGGAGCCCCAGAAGGAAGAGGCAGCAGAGGUUGAUCAUUUGGAGCUUCAGUACACGGUACAGCCCCAGAAGAUGAAGGCAAAUGUUGUUGGAACAAACCCACAAACCUCUGAUGAUCAAGUAAAAUCUGACCAUCAGAUUCCUGCAUCUGGUCAAUCUUUCUCUUCAUGUUUGUAGCAUAGUUAUGUGCGAGCCUGUGCAACUGUUUAUUCUCAUGCUUGAGCCCUCUAAUCUCCUGCUUAAGGCUCAUCACUUCAGCCGCUAAUGAUUCAACUUGACGAGUUCGAGCAAAUAGGCGUUGGGCCAUAUUAGACACAGAACCUGCACACUGCACACUGAGAGCCAGAUAAUCCAUAACAACCAACUCAUCAGACCGUUUGGAAAGUAGUCUGUUAUCUUUGGGAGUGACAAGGUUCCGGGCCACCACCGCAGCGGUCAUGUCAUUCUUCACCGAAUCCCCAAUGGUAAAAGGACCAGUAGGGGAUAUGAAGGAUGGGCGGCAUAUAUUGUUUGGAGAAGGCGGGACUACCUCUUCACCAAGGUUCAAGUCAAAACGACGGUCGGAGAGGCCAGACAUUUUCAGAGGUGUUAAAGAAAGAAGAGGUUGGAUAAGUCAAGGUCGUAGAAGUGCAAGAAGGAAGUUUCUAUAGGUAGAAAUUUAAGUGUGCUUUGAACGUCCUACGUACCUCUAUAAAAAUCAACACUCGAUGGGAUUUCAGAGAUCGAAGAGGCGAGCUCAGAAAUCGAAAAGGCCAACUCAAAAAUCGAAGAGACGCUAGCUUUCUCAAAAGCUGGGCUUGCUCAGAAACCACGGGCCAAUCUUCUUUUCCAGAUUUGUCCGCACUUGUCACAUGCAACCUCUGCACCUGACGGGAUUUCAGAGAUCGAAGAGGCGAGCUUAGAACUCGAAGAGGCAAACUCAGAAAUCGGAGAAACAUCUGCUUUUCCAGAUGUGUCAGCAUUUGUCACAUGCAGAGUCAGCUUUGCAGAAAUCAUGGGCAGUUUGUCGAAGCCCCGAUUCCAGAUAUCGAAGAGCACUUGCUUUUCCAGACAUGUCAGCGCCUGUCACAUGCACACUCAGCCUUGCGAAAAUUACGGGCAAUCUGUCGAAGAACUCUUAUGAAGUAGAAAACACGUAAAGUUUACUAUUAAAUCAUCCAACGGUUGCUGACAAGGGUGAAAGAAUAGUACCGGUUAUUAAUUCCUAUAAAUGUCACAUUUCACCCUCCAUUGCAAGGCAGACAUACAUAACCCUUAUUCUUUUUCGAGAAUGCCUUUCCAACAAACUCUCUCGAGUCACUCAGUAUUCCUUAUUCCUUGGGGUACCUCUGCAAACAACUCAUCCAAAGCAAAAGUAUCUCAUAUCAUGCUUUCUCCCUGUCAUUCUCCUUGUUGUUGUUUUGGGACAAGGAGAAAGAGAGCAAUCAACUAGCACUUGGUAUUAAUCUUCUGAUCUGGAACCGACUGCCUGGAACCCCUUCCUGAUUGCUUACCUAGCCUUGCUCUCGAGUACUCAUCUUCAUCAUUUUAUGCUUCCUCUUCGUCUACCACAUCUGCUUGGGGAAUAGAUAAAGGAAGUGAAAAUGAUACAUCGAAGCAUGUGGAGGCAAUUUGCCAAUUCAUCCUCAGCUAGGGACAAGGAGAAAGAAAGCAAGAGGUGGGCACUUGGAAAGAUUGAAGAAAGAAACAGACCAACACCUCUACCUCGUGCCUGCCUGCCGUGCAGAAGAAACAAGCAGAGAAGAAUGCAGACUACACAAUCAAAUCAAUCCAGCAGAAGAAGUCUGAUUUGAAACCAAGGAACUCUCAUAUUCCUCGCUCAGAAUUCCAAACUAGUUCGAGAUCAAAGCUGUGGAAAGACAACAAGAUCAUCAAUCUCCAAAACCAGAUUUGCGUUCUUAAACUCUAUUAUGUCUGGUUUUUACUUUGCCAUACUUGUCAUGUUUAUUCGUUGUUUGUUUGUUUGCUUGUUUUUUUUUUUUUUUUUUUUGUGAGUUUAUGCUUAAAACAUUGAGGACAAUGUUUAAUUUAAGUGUGGGGGGGGGUAACCAAGUUGUUUUGCAUGAAAUUCGUGGGAGUUUAUCAUCCAUUACUUCUAAGUGUUGUUCCUUGAUGUUUUAAGUGUUUUUAAGCUGUUUUGGAGUAUUUUAGUGUGUUUUGACAUAAAAAUCUGAAAAUCUCAUAAAAAUUUGAAAAAUUGUUUUGAAAAACCCAAAAAUAGUUGUUUUUGUUUGUUUGUCUGUGUCUUAGGGUACCUUCCAACACAAUGAUGAGGAUUUGAUUUUUAAUUACAUGACUGUUAAAGAGAGUUAUAAACACGAAUGAAAAUUGAUUUACUCUUUGAUGUAUGCUUGGUUGUGGUUAUAAAUUAUGAAUUCACAUGCAAUCAUAAAGCAAAAAUCAGUUUUUGUAACAUGCUUGAAGGAAGGAACUCAAAUGAACGCUACAACCUUGUGAGACUUGAGCCUAAACGUUUAUUUGGAGAGUUAAUAAUUUGUGCACCAUUGUUUUCUAAAAGUCGUUGAAUGAUCUCAUUAUUCUUUGCUUGGUUGCUACUUAGAAGGCGUUUCAUCAUUUAGUUCCAAAUGCUAGAACUCAUGACUAUUUCAUUCAAAUCAUGCUAUUGAUUUGCAUAACACAUAUUUAAGAUGAAGUUGUGUAGUGACCACCAAAGCCAAAUUGCCGUGCCUCUAUUUCAUUAUGUGUUUAAGUUUAACCCCAUUGAGCCUUGUGUUGCCUAUGUUCUUUGUUACCCGCACUAUCCUCACCUAGCCUAGAUUAGGACCAUCCAUACCCUUGUUCUUGAAGCAUAGUAAAGUAUAAUUUAGAAGGAAUUCCUUUUGUUGAACUCUUGCAGAAAAACAAGUGUGGGGGGAAGUGAUUUUUGUGUGUGUGUGUGCCAAAGUCCUUCAUAAGGCACGGGUAGAAAAGGAAAAGAAAAAGAAAAAUUGGUGGAAAAUAGAAUGAAAAGAAGAAAAGUUGUGAAAAGAGUUGAAAAAUUUAUGAGAAAGAGCUCUAAAGUGUUGUUUGUAGAAGAAAGGGUCCAAAGCAUUGAAUUCGACCAUAAGUGUUGCAUGAAUCUUCCCUUUGUGUUUAAAAGUUGAUUUUUGCAUUCUAAAGUAAAUUCCAAGUGUCGAUUCCAUUACUUUACUUGCUAUCGCUUUAAGAACGUUUGUUAUUCCUAUCCUUUCUUUGUUAGCCAUUACCCCCAAGCCCUGUUACAACCCUUGACUUCAAUCUUAAGUGUUGUGUGUUUCAAUUUGUAGAGUUUGAAAUUGAUAUGAGCAUAUGGUGUCACUGGUUCUCGCAUCUAAGUAGUAGCAUUCUAGUCAUGAGAUCAUAUAUAUACAUGAAUUAAUAAUUUCAGAAAUUGCUUCUUUGUUGAAAAACAUAUGUGAGUACUAGUUUUCAUGUUUACACCAAUCUUUUCACAUAUACCUAGUAUAGGGAGUGUAGUCAGAAAUUCUUGUGUGAAAAUAAGAGUGUAUCUAGUAAGGAAUUGAGGAAAUUCUCUAAGGCAUGUUACUAUAUUCAAAAUGUUGUUUUAAUUGAUUAAAUGUGAGCUAGUGAUUGGUGACUAUGAUUAAGAAUGCUCAAGGGUAAGGAAUGCUUAAAUCUAUGUAAGUGGUGAUCUUUGGCAUGUCAUGUUUCAUUGAAAAUCCCUGAGGCAAAUGUUGGAAGGUCAAGGUUAUGUUUUGUUUGUUUUGUUUGUUUUGUUUUGCUCAAGGACUAGCAAAAGCUAAGUGUGGGGGAAUUUGAUAGGAGCAUAUUUAUGCGACUUAGUUAGCUUGUUCUUGUGCAUUUAUGUUGUUAUUUCUUAGUCAAUUAUGUAUUUUAAGCUAUUUUCGUGUGUUUGUAGGUUCAAAUAACAAAGUUAGCAACAAAUUACUAUUUGGAGCAUUUCGGAGCAUUUUCGGGCCAAUAUUGGAUAGUGCAAGCAUGGAGACAUGAGGAUGGACGUUUUUGAAGAUUUGAAGGCUAGAAAUCAGCAUGUGUGUGUGCAAGUGUGUUGACCUACAACUCCAAACAUCCAUCCACUACACCCAUUACAUCCACUCAUUACCAAACAUCCACCCACUACAUCAUUACAUCACUCAUUACAACAUCAUCCAUCCACUACACCUAUUACAUCCACUCAUUACCCCACUACAUCCAUUACAUCCACUCAUUACCAAACAUCCAUCCACUACACCUAUUACAUCCACUCAUUACCAACAUCAUCCACUACACCCCAUUACAUCCACAUCCACAUCCACCCACACCACACAUUACACCACUCAUCCCACAUUACAAAACACCAAAUUACACUCACAACUUACACCAGCUACCAAAACAUCCACCACUUAAUAAUGGUGGAGGUCUUACCAAAGCCUAUAAAUACAACCCUCAAAUUUCCAUAACAAAACACACUACUUCAAAUCUCACCAACUUAAACACACUUUCAAUUGGCCGGAAAACAGAACAAAUCCACCCAUAAAAAUCCACCAUCAAAAUCACCUAUCAUUUCACAUCCACCAUAAAAAUCAUCCAAAACCAUACCUCUUGUGCCGUAACAAAAAAGAAGGAGGACCCUUUGGACUGCUUGCUAUUCAAGUUGGAUUUUGGUUUUUAGGUCUUUUCAUUCUUUUGUUUUCAAUGUCUAAAUUUGUUUAUCUUUGCUUUGUGAGUAUGAGGAACUAAACCCCCCUUAGCUAGGGGGGAAUUCGAAACCAUGUUCAUGCUUGCAAUAUGAUUUGAUUACCUUUAGUUGUGAUUUCAUAAGUUGUGAAUUCAAUUUGUUUAACUACUUGAUUGAUAACUUAUUCGUGUAUGUUUAUUAAGAGUGCACACUUAGUUUGCAUGCAUGAAUAUGAUGCUAAAGUAUAAGGGAGUUUCACCUAAUAGUUAUAAACUUAUAUUCACAAGUAGUGGAGGUCGCUUAUAAACGAUUGUGUUAAAUAAAUUCUUGGCAGGAGUUUCAUGCUCAUCAUAGUAACGAAUGCCUCGUCAAUACUUAUAGUUUUCAUAAUGCUUAAUGACCUUUGAUUGUAUCUUUAUUGUGCUAUUCACGUAAAGAACUUUUGAAGAAUGCUUGAAUUGUUGUAUGUGUUUUCCCAUCCAAUUCAAUAACUUAAGGAGAACUUGAAGGUUAAUUUAAGCGGACUUAAUUAACCUGGGGUGUUGAGUGUCAUGAUUGAUCGAAAGAACAACUGAAAAUUGGUUUAUGUGCAAGUAUGUCAUGUGUGGAAAAGAACCUCCUAGCUAGCCUUCCAUCCAUUCAAUUUACUCAAAUUCGUGCAGAUUUCAUUCGUUCUUUAAUUUACUUGUUUUGUUUUCAAAUUCGUCAAAACCAAAACCCCAUUUACUUUAAAGUGUUUUAUUAGUCAAAAUCUAUUUUGAUUUGUGUUUUUAGGUGUCCCAAAAGUGUGUUAGAGUCCAAAUCUACCCAGUUUAUGUUUUUAGGCAGAUUUGAGCUUUUUUAGCUUGUUUUGAGUCUUUUGAGUUUGUUUUAAGUUCUUUGAGUCUAGUUUAGUGUUUUUAACUUUGUUUAUAUGUUUUUAAGUCAGUUUAGAGGUUUUAGCAAGCCCUCCUAAUCCCCGGUUUAGAACGAUCCCUACUUGCAUUUAUACUACAAUUUGACAACAAGAGGGUUUAAUUUGUGUGUUAAGUUAAAAUUCGCAUCAAUCCUCUCCAGAUUCCCUUUGUGAGGAUUUCGGAGAUUCUCUAAUCACGUAUGUUCAUCGUGUAUCGUGCAAUCAUUUUUCAUCAAAUACUAUUUAUAUUCAAUUUUAAAUAAUAAAAAAUUUACAAUGAUUUAUGAUCGCACAAUAUACGAUGAACAAACGUGAUUGGAGAAUAUUCGGGAUUCUCACAAAGAGGAUCUGGAGAUGAUCCUUAUUCAAAGAUAGAUAGGCUGAAAUGAGCUAACGCAUCCGCCACAAAGUUAGUUUCCCUGAAAAUAUGCUUCCACUCCACAGAAAGGAACUCACAAGCCAGAAUCUGAAUGUCGCGCAUGAUGGAGUGGAUAUGCCAGGGAAUAUUAAGGGCUCGUUCGAGAUAUGCGGGUCGACUAUGAUGAAUCAUACUAUUCAGUUAUGUAAUAAGUACGAAUAAAAAAAAAUUAAAAUCCAAAACUUAUGUUAAACUAAUAAUCAGAGUUACUAAUGACCACUUGCUCAUCACAGAAAUCACCUACGUACUAAGUCCUUGAGGGGCGUAAAACAGAAAGUGUGAGUGGGCAAAUAUAAGGAUUUACUAAAACACCUUUGUUUUUUCACAACAUAAAAACUCAUUGCUGUAAAAUCUGUAUAGUUUCCAAAAUCAUACUAUGUAUAAGUAUGAAAACCAAGUAUCAGUAUAAAAUAAUUAUUCUAAGAAUACGAGUAAACCACACAUAUCUCAAAAACAAUAUAACAUGCUUAUCAAAAUUAUGCUUACUUACGAGUCCUUGCAGAAAGUAGCUACAUGAACAUGCUAUGUGUAAUAAUCUACUUGAGUACUACAUCAUGAAGAUGGCGCUAAGCACGUCAAAUAUGAGUCAUAGAUGCAAAAGCAAUUAGUUUAGGCAGGUACCUGCAAUGGAUCCAAUGUGAGCAUUACGAUACGUUUCGAACAUACACGUGAAACUGGUCCUGCCCUAAACGAGUAAUAUAGUAACCGGUGUAGACAUGCAUGAUGAGCAAAUAAAAUAUGCAUGAUCAUGUUGUCACUAUGGGGCCAAAAAUAAUCACAAGACGACACGUGGAUUGUUGGACAAAAAGGACCAAAAUACCCCUGAAGUACACCAAGAUCUCUACGCGCAAGCAGUCGACAAUCUUUUUUCAACAAAGUCAAAGAUGCUCCAAAAGAGGUAAACAAUUCAAAAUCUAUCUCAUCAAAUUCCCUUUUGCAAGGUAACCUCCAAAUUAUUAUGUUAAUUGGUUAAUUAAUGGAUUAAUUACCCAAUUAAUCCAUUAAAUAUCAAUUAAGUCACCCUUUAUAUCAAAUAAACCACCAAAAACCACAUCAAUGGCCGGCCAUCCCCAUCUGAAAAGGGAUUCAUCCUAUUUCCUACCUUUCCUUACCCUUUUCUCCCCUUUUUAGCAAAUUAUUUAGUUAUUCUUUAUUACCUUUUCAUAACCUAAUUAUCAAUUUAUUCUAAAUAAAUAUGUAACCACCAAUUUAUUCUUUAAGGUUUAAUUAGCCAAUAAAUUGGCUAAUUAAACCAAAAUCUCAACCACAAAAACUCCUUCAAGGGCCGGCCAUUCCUUGGAAAAAAUGGCCAAGCCUAGCCCUAUAAAUAGGCUCCUAUUUUCACCAAAAACUCAUUCGAACACUUUGGCAAAAAUCCAAAAAUUCUCUAAAUACUCUUUCUCUCUAAAUUCUAACUUUGGCAUCGGAGGUUCUUCGGCCAAAGCCCCCCCACCCCAUUCAUCGUGGGCGCGUGAGGCUCUUGGCCUUAACCUAAGGUGUUAAUUGUUUUGUAGGUGCAAAAUUGUCCAAGAUCAAGGAGGAAGAAAUUUGCAUCCACAAAUUGGUGCUUUCAUUGAGAGUUGAGAUCCAUACUCAUAGAAGACUCUCGCAUAAAAGGUUUUUUCUCUAUUUUCUAGUCCAUUUGAAUAUUUUUCAUACGUUCUUAUUGUUAGAAUUUUUUAUUUGCAAAGGUUCUUGGAUAAAACGUAUAAGAAAAAUAUAAUGGCUAGAAAUUUAGAAAAUUCCACAAGUGAAAAUUCUAAUACUCAAGAAAUGGGACCGCGGCGAUCCACGAGGCUAAAUGUGGUCAUAGGCGGAGUGGUACCACCACUACUAGGUUCCACCAUGGCCCAAGCCAUGCCAUCCAAGCUUGCACGGGUCCGAGGCUAACUCCCGACGAGCAGCCCACUCCCGCCAAGCAGCCCACUUUCGCGGCCCAACCUGCUCUCAUGGCCCAAACUACUCUCGCAACCCAGCUUACUCCUACUGAGUAGCCUGCUCCCUA